UACGUAGGGUGCGAGCGUUGUCCGGAAUUAUUGGGCGUAAAGGGCUCGUAGGCGGUUUGUCGCGUCGGGAGUGAAAACCUUGGGCUUAACUCAGGGCUUGCUUUCGAUACGGGCAGACUAGAGGUAUGCAGGGGAGAACGGAAUUCCUGGUGUAGCGGUGAAAUGCGCAGAUAUCAGGAGGAACACCGAUGGCGAAGGCAGGUCUCUGGGCCGAUACUGACGCUGAGGAGCGAAAGCCAGGGGAGCAAACGGG
Molecule: ribosomal RNA, 253 nt
Filed under: uncultured bacterium
Lineage: Bacteria
Description: partial 16S ribosomal RNA
Rfam family: Bacterial small subunit ribosomal RNA
Source: RNAcentral